GACGAACGCUGGCGGCGCGCCUAACACAUGCAAGUCGAACGAGCGAGAGAGAGCUUGCUUUCUCGAGCGAGUGGCGAACGGGUGAGUAACGCGUGAGGAACCUGCCUCAAAGAGGGGGACAACAGUUGGAAACGACUGCUAAUACCGCAUAAGCCCACGGUGCCGCAUGGCACAGAGGGAAAAGGAGCAAUCCGCUUUGAGAUGGCCUCGCGUCCGAUUAGCUAGUUGGUGAGGUAAUGGCCCACCAAGGCGACGAUCGGUAGCCGGACUGAGAGGUUGAACGGCCACAUUGGGACUGAGACACGGCCCAGACUCCUACGGGAGGCAGCAGUGGGGAAUAUUGCACAAUGGAGGAAACCCUGAUGCAGCGACGCCGCGUGGAGGAAGAAGGUCUUCGGAUUGUAAACUCCUGUUGUUGGGGAAGAUAAUGACGGUACCCAACAAGGAAGUGACGGCUAACUACGUG
RNAcentral lists this ribosomal RNA (466 nucleotides) under uncultured bacterium. RNAcentral's name for it is "partial 16S ribosomal RNA". It matches the Rfam family "Bacterial small subunit ribosomal RNA", at positions 28 to 507 of the family's 1533-position model. The record is from RNAcentral.